Non-coding RNA from Hydra vulgaris (swiftwater hydra), 2664 nucleotides. The record is from RefSeq and is a predicted model, not a curated record. NCBI's taxonomy places the organism in Eukaryota, Metazoa, Cnidaria, Hydrozoa, Anthoathecata, Hydridae.
UGAGUAGUUUAUUUUAAGUAAUGAAUCUAUUAAGUGUUACAAAAUGUUAUGUCAUAUUUAUAAUAAAUAAUAAUGGUGUUACUAUUAUUAGUUAUAAUCAUGCCAAGAAAAUGUUCAAUAGUUAAUUGUACCACAAAUUAUUUAACAUCAACUUCAGAAGAAAAGCUUCAUGUUUAAAUGUUUCCAAGUGACACACAAAAGUUACAAUAUUGGUUGUCAUCUAUUCCAAAUGCGUUUGAAAAAGUAACUUCAAAUAUGGGUGUGUGUGAAAAACACUGGCCACCAGGCUGCAAAAUGCACAAGCCUCCUUGAUCAAAGUUUGAGGUUCCUAUUGAUCCCCCAUCUAUUUUUCCUGGAUGCACAUCUUCAAUGGUGCACCAAACAGUCUCAACACAAUCAAGAUCUACAAAUAUAAAUAAAAUUUCUUUAACAUCACGAAAUGCAAUACCUGAUGAAAUAGAUGAUUUCAAUCAAAUUGAUUUAAUUAGAUUAUAUGAUGUUGAAAUAAUGUUAUCUGAAAUAAAAGAAAGAUAUCCUCAAUACUUUGCAUUCAUUGAAAAUUCAAAAGUCAUAUUGUUUGAUGUUUCUCAAUCAUGUCUACCUGAAACAACAUUUUCUGUUGAAAUCAACUGUCAUUCAUGUCAAGUUAAUAUUUAUUGUAGGCAUACAAAAGUUAACUGCUAUGACCUGCCCAGUUUUUCUCAUUGUCUUACUCGGUGGUCACAGCUUGAAGCUAUUGUCAAAAGAGUUUGUACCUCUAAUCCUGAAAUAAAAGAUGAGGUAUUAAGUUUGAUUAGUCAAAUUGAAAAUACAUACAGUGACACUUCUGAAGAAUUUUUUUUCCUCCUUAAACAACUACGCCUCACCACAUUCUCCAAAUGGACUGCGCUUUUCUACUUUAUGUAUACGUCGUGCACUUAAACUGUAUUUAUCCUCCAGAUGCUAUUAUCGACAUUUAAGAAAUUUGCUUUGUUUGCCCAAUCCAAAGACUCAUUUCAAAAUUAGGAAGAGUUAGAGAAGUUGGAAAUGAAAAAGAGUGCAAUAAUACAAUCAAAGUUGUUUUUGAAAAUUUUAAUAGUUCUGAAAAGCGUUGCUGCCUUCUCUUUGAUGAGAUGUAUAUUAAACCAAGUGUUAGUUUCAGAGGAGGACACCUCAUUGGAUAUAGUGAGGACAAUCCCACUAAAAUUGCAAAAACGUUAUUAGUCUUUAUGAUUAAACCUAUGUUUGGUAAACCUUCUUUUGUUUGUAAAAUCGUACCAUUAUUUAAACUGUCAGUGCACUUUCUUCACGAUUUGAUUAUAAACAUAAAUAAACAAAUAAUUGAUGCAGGAGGAGAAUUACUGUGUUUUUUAUCAGAUAACCAUCCCACAAAUCGAAGUGUUUACCAAAGUUUCGUUGUUAAUAAAAGUUUUCCAUGGCAAGGUGUUAUAGAAAAAGAAAAACCAGUUAUUAUGCUACACAAUCCAGUUCACUUGUUUAAAAGUAUAAGAAAUAAUUGGUUUACGGAAAAAACACAAAGAAUUAGUUUAAAAAUUAAUAAUCAACCUCUCUCUGGUGAUUGGUCUCACAUUGUUCAAUUAUAUAACAGACAGAAAAUUUGUGUUGCCAAAAAUACAAAGCUUUCACGCAAGUCAGUGUACCCUAGUUUGAUUGAUAGACAAAAUGUUGCAAACAUGGUUGCUGUAUUUAAUAAAAAAAACUGUUGCAGCAUUGAGAUUAGCUAAUUUUGAGAACACUGCCUGUUUUUUAGCACCAAUUGUUUUAUUAUGGAACAUGCUAAAUGUAAAGAGGAAAGGUUGUGAUGUUUUACUUAAUGAUAUCAAUAGGUCUCCUUUCCAGACACUCGAUGACCUUAGAUUUAAAGAAAUUUUAGCAUUUGCUGAUGCAACUUCUAAGAUGUCAGAGGGAAAGGGAUUAAAGCGUCAUAAUACUUUUACACCAGAAACAAAACAUGCUUUAGUUAACACCCUACAAGGAUUGGUAGAAUUAAUAAAAAAACUACUUUCAGAAGAUCACCAAUAUGUUCUUCCCGGUAUUUUUCAAAGAAAUCGUCUUAAAGGUGAAUUUGGCAUCUACAGAUGAAUGUUUAAUGCAGACAAUGAAUCUAUUAAUGAUCAGGAGAAUGCUGCCCUUUUUUAUAUGGCUGGUUAUGUACAGCACAAGAUCGAUCCGCAGCGUGUAGUUGAUACAACAACAUCACAAUCAGCUAGUUCUGAAUUUACAGAUUAUGUUUCACGUGGUAAAUUGUGUUAUCCUGGUGAUACUCUUCUCCAGUUUAUUUGUGUUUGUUAUCUACUGUUUAACAGCAUUCCAAUGUCUGAAAAACGUUUUCAAUGUGUUGUUUAUGCAAAGAAAUUAUUUUUAUUCUUGCAUUCAACAUUACCAUUUGAUUUAGAAACAGACAGUAUAGGUGUUGCAAAAGUUAUCUCAAUAAUAACUAACUGUUUCUUGAAAGGUGUUACGACCCUUGAUAAUACAUCUGAUAUUGUUUCAUUAAACAUUGAGGACAGAAAAAGAAAGAAACUUAAUACUUAGUGGUCUGAUUAUUUAGUUGACGUUGGUGAUAUAAUUAAUAACGUUUUGAAAUGUAUUUAUGGCUUUAUAUGGUUUAAAAUUUAUUUAUAAUUAUAUAUUUAUUAUUAUGAUAUGAAUAUAAUAUAGUAU